AUACGGAGGAUCCGAGCGUUAUCCGGAUUUAUUGGGUUUAAAGGGUGCGCAGGCGGCCAUUUAAGUCAGCGGUUAAAUCGUGGGGCUCAACCCCAUUCUGCCGUUGAUACUGGGUGGCUUGAUUGCGGUCGAGGUUGGCGGAAUUCGUUGUGGAGCGGUGAAAUGCAUAGAUAUGACGAAGAACACCGAUUGCGUAGGCAGCUGACCAGACCGCAAAUGACGCUCAUGCACGAAAGUGCGGGGAUCGAACAGGAUUAGAUACCCUGGUAGUCCGCACAGUAAACGAUGAAUACUUGUUUUCGGCGAUAUAAUGUCGGAGGCAAAGCGAAAGCGAUAAGUAUUCCACCUGGGGAGUACGCCGGCAACGGUGAAACUCAAAUGAAUUGACGGGG
RNAcentral lists this ribosomal RNA (392 nucleotides) under uncultured bacterium. Its description in RNAcentral is "partial 16S ribosomal RNA". It matches the Rfam family "Bacterial small subunit ribosomal RNA", at positions 523 to 918 of the family's 1533-position model. The record is from RNAcentral.